This 81-nucleotide transfer RNA is filed under the name Treponema sp. RNAcentral's name for it is "tRNA-Leu". It matches the Rfam family "tRNA". Rfam says of the family: Transfer RNA (tRNA) molecules are approximately 80 nucleotides in length. The record is from RNAcentral. Lineage: Bacteria; Pseudomonadati; Spirochaetota; Spirochaetia; Treponematales; Treponemataceae.
GCGAGGGUGGUGAAAAUGGUAGACACGCCAGACUUAGGAUCUGGUGCCCGCGGCAUAGGGGUUCGAGUCCCCUCCUUCGCA